RNAcentral lists this ribosomal RNA (460 nucleotides) under uncultured bacterium. RNAcentral describes it as "bacterial SSU rRNA". It matches the Rfam family "Bacterial small subunit ribosomal RNA", at positions 340 to 786 of the family's 1533-position model. The record is from RNAcentral.
UACGGAAGGCAGCAGUGGGGAAUAUUGGACAAUGGGCGGAAGCCUGAUCCAGCCAUGCCGCGUGUGUGAAGAAGGCCUUUUGGUUGUAAAGCACUUUAAGCGAGGAGGAGGCUCUCCUAGUUAAUACCUAGGAAGAGUGGACGUUACUCGCAGAAUAAGCACCGGCUAACUCUGUGCCAGCAGCCGCGGUAAUACAGAGGGUGCGAGCGUUAAUCGGAUUUACUGGGCGUAAAGCGUGCGUAGGCGGCUGAUUAAGUCGGAUGUGAAAUCCCUGAGCUUAACUUAGGAAUUGCAUUCGAUACUGGUCAGCUAGAGUAUGGGAGAGGAUGGUAGAAUUCCAGGUGUAGCGGUGAAAUGCGUAGAGAUCUGGAGGAAUACCGAUGGGCGAAGGGCAGCCAUCUGGGCCUAAUACUGACGCUGAGGUACGAAAGCAUGGGGAAGGCAAACAGGAUUAGAUACC